AAUCUGUUUCAGGGCGAGGUGAAAUUCCUCACCGGCGGUAUAGUCCGCGAGCGAAGAAGAUAAGAUUUUUUCGCUGAUCAGGUGAAAUUCCUGAACCGACGGUAUAGUCCGGAUGGGAGAAACACAAA
Molecule: non-coding RNA, 128 nt
Filed under: Firmicutes bacterium CAG:145
Lineage: Bacteria; Bacillati; Bacillota
Also listed under: 1 other name
Description: FMN riboswitch aptamer (RFN element)
Rfam family: FMN riboswitch aptamer (RFN element)
About the family: The RFN element is a highly conserved domain that is found frequently in the 5'-untranslated regions of prokaryotic mRNAs that encode for flavin mononucleotide (FMN) biosynthesis and transport proteins. This element is a metabolite-dependent riboswitch that directly binds FMN in the absence of proteins.
Source: Rfam by way of RNAcentral